This is a long non-coding RNA of Aethina tumida (small hive beetle), 851 nucleotides long. RefSeq lists it as uncharacterized. The transcript is spliced from 5 exons. The record is from RefSeq and is a predicted model, not a curated record. NCBI's taxonomy places the organism in Eukaryota, Metazoa, Arthropoda, Insecta, Coleoptera, Nitidulidae.
CUUCGAAGUCCAAGUUGAUUUGGAACGCCGACAAGUUAAACCCCACGUUGUCAUAUGUGCUUACCGGCGUAGAAGGCAAAUUGCACAGCAUAACAUACAUACUGUUCCGUCUACAUUCACCGUCUAUGCAGCAGGAGGAACAUCAACAGUAGGUCCAUUUGGCUUGUCAAAAUGACAGACGUAACGAUAACAAAGUAUUUUGGAUCUAGGAUAAGAGAGAAACACGAGAUUUCCCUCGGUCCAAUGUACAACACACUCUCCCACCAGCAACUUAUUUAUAGAGCUACACCGAAAUUUUUUUUUCAAACACCAGCAUCGACUAUCCCGAUCAGUCGGUUGCAUUGUUGGUUGUUGGGUACGACGCGACCACGCACUGGAUCCAUGACCUAUUUCCCGUGUUUGUCAACAACACCUUCCUUCCAUUGCGGCUUGGACGGCCGCGUCGUUUGGUCACCGAAUACCUGUACUAAUUAUAAAUUUAACAAUAUAAAUAAGGAUUUGACCGUUUGUCUCUAAUCAACUUGUCUCAGUACACAGGAAGCUUUAAAAGGUGGCAAGAUGUUUGGGUUUGCGUUCACCGUUUUCGUCCUCUUGACUAGCAGCCAAAUGACAAUGGGACAAAAUUUUUUUUAUAUGGCAGAAAUAAAUGGACGGCGCGGAUACAACUCCACUGAAACGAACUGUCCAAAUUUUGCCAUUUACCUUAUUUUGCUCCUGGUCUACUUUCUUAAAUUGCUCCACGAUUAAUCAAUCCAAAGCCUACUGUUUCAGUAUUAUAAACCCUCCUAUAUUUUUACAAUGUAUAUUAUUAAUAUUAAUAAAUAAACAAACGUAUUCUUAAGUAUUAUUAA